Long non-coding RNA from Drosophila navojoa, 401 nucleotides. The record is from RefSeq and is a predicted model, not a curated record. NCBI's taxonomy places the organism in Eukaryota, Metazoa, Arthropoda, Insecta, Diptera, Drosophilidae.
AGAGAGAGAGAGAGAGAGAGAGAGAGAGGCAGGGAGAGAGCUCUGUUGUGGCUGGCAUUACCUGCCGCCUGUUUGUCUUUUGGCUGUAACAGCUACCGCACAAUUUCCCAAAUGACAAACAUGCCAAAACGGUUAGGGCCCAUAGACACACAGACAAUGGCAACAAAGGCUGCCUGCAGAAGGCGAAGGACAAGCUGAGAAACAGGAGCUGCACCAGCCAGCCAGCCGAGCAGCAGACAGCAGGCAGCCAAGCAGGAGGCAGCAGCCAAGCAGGAGUAGCACAUUAAUCACAAUGCUCCAAAAGAGCUUGACAGCUAGCUACAUGGAAACCUCUCCCUGGGUGUCUCAAGACAACAUCUCUCUCUCUCUCUCUCUCUCUCUCUGUCUCUUUCCCUCUCUGU